Astyanax mexicanus (Mexican tetra) is the source of this 462-nucleotide long non-coding RNA. RefSeq lists it as uncharacterized. Lineage: Eukaryota; Metazoa; Chordata; Actinopteri; Characiformes; Acestrorhamphidae. The transcript is spliced from 3 exons. The record is from RefSeq and is a predicted model, not a curated record.
UGUGAGGUGUAAAUGUGAUGUGUAGAUGUGAUGUGUAGAUGUGAUGUGUAGAUGUGAUGUGUAGAUGUGAGGUGUAAAUGUAAUGUGUAGAUGUGAUGUGUAGAUGUGAUGUGUAGAUGUGAGGUGUAGAUGUGAGGUGUAAAUGUGAGGUGUAGAUGUGAUGUGUAGAUGUGAUGUGUAGAUGUGAGGUGUAGAUGUGAUGUGUAGAUGUGAUGUGUAGAUGUGAGGUGUAAAUGUAAUGUGUAGAUGUGAUGUGUAGAUGUGAUGUGUAGAUGUGAGGUGUAGAUGUGAGGUGUAGAUGUGAUGUGUAGAUGUGAUGUGUAGAUGUGAUGUGUAGAUGUCUUUGACAUUCUUUUGAGGAUGCUUUUAAAACAGCACUACUUGGUUUGGUUAAUAUGAACUCUGGUUGGUUUGCUAUAGCGUCAAAAUAUGGUCAAAAGUUUGGAGAAGCAAAAGUAUAAU